GACGGAGGAGGCAAGCGUUAUCCGGAAUUAUUGGGCGUAAAGCGUCCGUAGGUGGCUUGACAAGUCUGGGGUUAAAGCCCGGAGCCCAACUCCGGAUCGGCCCUGGAAACUGUCAGACUUGAGUAAGGCAGGGGUUGCGGGAAUUCCCGGUGUAGCGGUGAAAUGCGUAGAUAUCGGGAAGAACACCAGCGGCGAAAGCGCGCAACUGGGCCAUUACUGACACUGAGGGACGAAAGCUAGGGGAGCGAAUGGG
RNAcentral lists this ribosomal RNA (253 nucleotides) under uncultured bacterium. RNAcentral's name for it is "partial 16S ribosomal RNA". It matches the Rfam family "Bacterial small subunit ribosomal RNA", at positions 524 to 776 of the family's 1533-position model. The record is from RNAcentral.